This 576-nucleotide ribosomal RNA is filed under the name uncultured bacterium. Its description in RNAcentral is "bacterial SSU rRNA". It matches the Rfam family "Bacterial small subunit ribosomal RNA", at positions 8 to 601 of the family's 1533-position model. The record is from RNAcentral.
AGAGUUUGAUCAUGGCUCAGAGUGAACGCUGGCGGCGUGCCUAACACAUGCAAGUCGAACGAUGAUUGGAGAGCUUGCUCUUCAUGAUUAGUGGCGCACGGGUGAGUAAUGCAUAGGUAAUGUGCCCCUUAGAGGGGGAUAGCCACUGGAAACGGUGAUUAAUACCCCAUACUCCUUCUGGUCAUAAGGCCAGUCGGGAAAUGUUUUUCGCUAAGGGAUCAGCCUAUGUCCUAUCAGGUAGUUGGUGAGGUAACGGCUCACCAAGCCAAUGACGGGUAUCUGGUUUGAGAGGAUGAUCAGACACACUGGAACUGAGACACGGUCCAGACUCCUACGGGAGGCAGCAGUGAGGAAUAUUGCACAAUGGAGGAAACUCUGAUGCAGCAACGCCGCGUGGAGGAUGACGCAUUUCGGUGUGUAAACUCCUUUUAAGAGGGAAGAUUAUGACGGUACCUCUUGAAUAAGCACCGGCUAACUCCGUGCCAGCAGCCGCGGUAAUACGGAGGGUGCAAGCGUUACUCGGAAUCACUGGGCGUAAAGGGUGCGUAGGCUGACUUUUAAGUCAGGCGUGAAAUC